This 323-nucleotide long non-coding RNA is filed under the name Elaeis guineensis (African oil palm). RNAcentral describes it as "long non-coding RNA (EGUI_LNC009196)". Lineage: Eukaryota; Viridiplantae; Streptophyta; Magnoliopsida; Arecales; Arecaceae. The record is from RNAcentral.
ACUAUGAACUUUCUUUGGUCAGACAUCGGGAAAAAAGGAUCGAGUAUGUCAAUUCCCCACUGAGUGAAAGGCCAAGGUGCGACAAUGGACGUUAGCCGACAGAUGGGUUGAUGCUGUAUGUUGGCAUACUUCUGGCAUGGUUCGCACCUCCAGACGAAGUCAGCUGCAUCUUUUUCAUGGUGGGCCAAUAGUAACCUUAUCACAAAAUCUUGUAGGCUAGGGACUUGCCCCCCAAGUGGCUUUCAUAAAUUUUUUCAUGUACUUUUCUAAGUGCAUAGUCGGCAUCGGUCGGUCCUAGGCACUUCAGUAAGGGAAGGGAGAAU